UACGGAGGGAGCUAGCGUUGUUCGGAAUUACUGGGCGUAAAGCGCACGUAGGCGGCUUUGUAAGUCAGAGGUGAAAGCCUGGAGCUCAACUCCAGAACUGCGUUUGAGACUGCAUCGCUCGAAUCCGGUAGAGGUGGGUGGAAUUCCGAGUGUAGAGGUGAAAUUCGUAGAUAUUCGGAAGAACACCAGUGGCGAAGGCGGGUCACUGGACCGGUAUUGACGCUGAGGUGCGAGAGCGUGGGGAGCAAACAGG
This 253-nucleotide ribosomal RNA is filed under the name uncultured bacterium. RNAcentral describes it as "partial 16S ribosomal RNA". It matches the Rfam family "Bacterial small subunit ribosomal RNA", at positions 524 to 776 of the family's 1533-position model. The record is from RNAcentral.